UACGUAGGGGGCGAGCGUUGUCCGGAUUUAUUGGGCGUAAAGAGCGUGUAGGCGGCCAGAUAAGUCCGCUGUGAAAACUCGAGGCUCAACUUCGAGCUGUCGGCGGAAACUAUCUGGCUAGAGUCCGGAAGAGGAGAGUGGAAUUCCUGGUGUAGCGGUGAAAUGCGCAGAUAUCAGGAAGAACACCCGUGGCGAAGGCGGCUCUCUGGGACGGUACUGACGCUGAGACGCGAAAGCGUGGGGAGCGAACAGG
RNAcentral lists this ribosomal RNA (253 nucleotides) under uncultured bacterium. Its description in RNAcentral is "partial 16S ribosomal RNA". It matches the Rfam family "Bacterial small subunit ribosomal RNA", at positions 524 to 776 of the family's 1533-position model. The record is from RNAcentral.